This 492-nucleotide ribosomal RNA is filed under the name uncultured bacterium. RNAcentral describes it as "partial 16S ribosomal RNA". It matches the Rfam family "Bacterial small subunit ribosomal RNA", at positions 29 to 507 of the family's 1533-position model. The record is from RNAcentral.
AGUGAACGCUGGCGGUAGGCCUAACACAUGCAAGUCGAACGGCAGCACAGUAAGAGCUUGCUCUUACGGGUGGCGAGUGGCGGACGGGUGAGGAAUACAUCGGAAUCUACUUUUUCGUGGGGGAUAACGUAGGGAAACUUACGCUAAUACCGCAUACGACCUACGGGUGAAAGCAGGGGAUCUUCGGACCUUGCGCGAUUGAAUGAGCCGAUGUCGGAUUAGCUAGUUGGCGGGGUAAAGGCCCACCAAGGCGACGAUCCGUAGCUGGUCUGAGAGGAUGGUCAGCCACACUGGAACGGAGACACGGUCCAGACUACUACGGGAGGCAGCAGUGGGGAAUAUUGGACAAUGGGCGCAAGCCUGAUCCAGCCAUACCGCGUGGGUGAAGAAGGCCUUCGGGUUGUAAAGCCCUUUUGUUGGGAAAGAAAAGCAGCAGGUUAAUACCCCGCUGUUCUGACGGUACCCAAAGAAUAAGCACCGGCUAACUUCGUG